AUCCGAGGGCGCGGCCGCGCCACGGCAGGCUCGGCGUCCCUGCAGCCGGGCCUCACAGAUACGCAUGCGCUGCCCGCCUGUCGCCUGUCGCGCGGAGGCGGGGGCACUGGUUAGGAAGGUCAGCCCGACGCCGCGGGAGCCUAGGUAGUCAUCCAUCAGAAUAAUGACCAUUAAUGCGUCAUUCCGCCGGGCCGGACUGCCCUGGACGGCGCUCUAGGCAAGCCAUCCACAGCCUGAAGUGAGAUGCCAGCCAGAGACAGCCUGAGUCCGAGACACAAGGCAGAGAGAAUGAAGUACAAAUCAUAAUGGUCAUCACUCAGUGAACACACUCCCUUAAGCACCAUCCAGGAUGUUUAGCUGGUUUUUAAAGGAGAAAGAGACCGCUGAGAGAAAACACUGGAGUGGCAGCCCAGGCAGCCGUGCCUGCAGGAGGAUGCCUCCCAGCAGAACAGAGUCCUCACUUUCUGCACUUGAACUGUGUGGUGCUAGGAACGAACAGGCUGCUGUCAGUAAGAAAAUGAACCACCCAACUGGAAACAGGCACAAGAUAUCUUACUAGAAAAGGUCUCCAGAUGGUGGGCAAGCACAAGAAUGAAUGUGUAAGUAUCUCAGAGUCUUCAGGUAUGUACCCAGGAGCAUUCAGCUGUGCCAUGUGGUAGCUAAAUUUUCAGUUUAUUGAGGAACCCCCGUCCCGAUGUCUAUAGUGGCUGUGAUGUGUUUUAUAAAGCCAAGGAUAUAUUUUUGUAGAGCGCAGUAUGGUGCGGUGAGAGGGAUUGCCUCAAAGGGAUGAAGCACCAGCCAUAUGAUGGGUUUAGUAUAGAAUAGACUUUAUUUGGGGGCUUGGGAAGGGG
Molecule: small RNA, 851 nt
Filed under: Rattus norvegicus (Norway rat)
Lineage: Eukaryota; Metazoa; Chordata; Mammalia; Rodentia; Muridae
Description: uncharacterized LOC102552874
Source: RNAcentral